This 265-nucleotide ribosomal RNA is filed under the name uncultured bacterium. RNAcentral describes it as "partial 16S ribosomal RNA". It matches the Rfam family "Bacterial small subunit ribosomal RNA", at positions 793 to 1055 of the family's 1533-position model. The record is from RNAcentral.
GUCCACGCCCUAAACGAUGUCAACUGGUUGUUGGACGGCUUGCUGUUCAGUAACGAAGCUAACGCGUGAAGUUGACCGCCUGGGGAGUACGGCCGCAAUGUUGAAACUCAAAGGAAAUUGACGGGGACCCGCACAAGCGGUGGAUGAUGUGGUUUAAUUCGAUGCAACGCGAAAACCUUAACCUACCCUUGACAUGUCAAGAAUCUUGCAGAGAUGUGAGAGUGCUCGAAAGAGAACUUGAACACAGGUGCUGCAUGGCCGUCGU